GAUGAACGCUGGCGGCGUGCUUAACACAUGCAAGUCGAACGAUGAAGCCCAGCUUGCUGGGUGCCUUAGUGGCGAACGGGUGAGUAACACGUGAGUAAUCUGCCCUUCAUUCUGGGAUAAGCAUGGGAAAGUGGCUCUUACACCGGAUAGAUGCGUCCUCCGUAUGGUGGGUGUUGGAAAGAUGUGUGGGUUUUGGAUGCUCUCGCGGCCUCUCCGCUUGUUGGUGAGGUAAGGUUUCACAAAGGCUAAGAGGGGUAGCCGGCCUGAGAGGGUGACCGGCCACACUGGGACUGGGACAGGGCCCGGACUCCUACGGGAGGCAGCGGUGGGAAAUAUUGCACAAUGGGCGAAAGCCUGAUGCAGCGACGCCGCGUGGGGGAUGACGGCCUUCGGGUUGUAAACCUCUUUCAGUAGGGAAGAAGCGAAAGUGACGGUACCUGCAGAAGAAGCACCGGCUAACUACGUG
RNAcentral lists this ribosomal RNA (466 nucleotides) under uncultured bacterium. RNAcentral's name for it is "partial 16S ribosomal RNA". It matches the Rfam family "Bacterial small subunit ribosomal RNA", at positions 28 to 507 of the family's 1533-position model. The record is from RNAcentral.